AUUCGAUCCAGGGGCUGGUCAUCAAGAUGGAGCAGGGUAUAGAGAAGCCAUUAGGGAUGAUACAGAACACCACCAAAGGGUUAGUAACGGUGGGGAACUGUUUGCACCCCGAAGCCUGAAAGAGUGAAGUAGGGUGGGAUUACCUGGAAAGAGAGAGAGAGACAGAAGGAGAAUGAGAUUGAGGGAAGGGCUGCCUGGCAGGGGAAGCUGACGCCUUCAGGCAAGUGAAGAAGCCAGCCCGCAGCAACUCUGCAGGGAAGAAUAUAGGGAAAUAAACGCCUUCAUCUCUCUCUUGUCCCACCCGCAGAGCUCCUUCUGGGAUUCUCUAUUGGCUGAACUCAGCCAGAAGCUGCCAAGGGAGACCCCCACAACUGGAUGCAGCCCACUGAAGUCAGCUUCCUGGGGUGCGUAGCUGAAGGUAGCAGGGAGCAAAAAGAAUCUGAAGGGGAAGUGAACAAUGUAGAGCGUAUCUGUGCUGAAGACGUAAGGAGAGAGUGGAGGUCAGAAGCUGGCAUGGUCCCUGGUGCAUGUAUCAGCCGCUAAAGCUGGAGUGGAUGAAUCAGAACUUUCCCCAUGGGAGCAUUUAUAAAAAGGGGACACCCAGCGCAGAAGAUGUUUUCCAGGGAGAUCUCGGGGAGCCCAACAAGCCAAGAAGAGCAGAGCAAAGCAUUCCAAGGAAGGACUCUAAGUCUGCAACCGAGCACACACGAGCACAAGGAAAGACCAUGUGAAUACACAGCAAGAACGUGGUGCUCUGCAAGUCAGAAACAGACCCGUCAUCAGACACCAAAUCAGCCAGCACCUUGAUCUAGGAUUUCUGGCCUCCAAAACAGUGAGAAAAUAAAAUUCUGUUGUUUAAGCCAUGCAGCCUGUUGUAUUUCAUUAUGGCAGCCUGAGCAGAAUAAGACAGGUAUAUACAAAUGCAAAUUCUAUUAAGAAAUCUGUAUCUUUUACCCUAUUGAAGUAAGUUAUACCUCAAUUGAAGAAUAAAUAAAAGAGAAAGAAGGAGCAGCACAACC
RNAcentral lists this long non-coding RNA (1019 nucleotides) under Homo sapiens (human). Its description in RNAcentral is "HSALNT0405453". The record is from RNAcentral. Lineage: Eukaryota; Metazoa; Chordata; Mammalia; Primates; Hominidae.